UUCUGAAAAUUAUACUUCCUGUUUUAUCAUAUACUUUCAUUUUAUUUUCUUUGUAACUGAACAUGCCCUAUAAAAUAGUUGUAAAUCAGAAAAAAACUUCUAUUAUUACUAGAGGAUGUGACUUCAGAACAGGUACAACAAAAAUGGAUUCUGUUGCUCUUAAAAGAUUGGAGAACCAAAUCAAAGAUGAUGAAGAUAUAGUCGUAGAAAAGGGGCAUCUUAGGCGUAAAAAAAACCCAGAUCAUCUUGAUGAUACAUUAAAAAUUUCUUGUGACCCCCAUUCACAUGAUUGCUUCUCCGAAAAUCGUUUUAAAGGACAACCGUCGACUGAUGACUCAGAAUUAAAUAAAUUGGAAAAUUAUCUAAUAACCAAAAGACAGAUAUAUCCCAGCAAAAAGUAUCGAAAAUCAAGGUGCUCAGCCUCAAAGAGGAAAAUGAUUUGAAUCAGGAUCCAGAAGGAACUACUAGUAAACCAUCUCAAGACUGCAGGGAAAUCAUACAUGCUGAAUCGAUUAUUGAUGCUGAUACAUCCCUUCCCGUUAAAUUGUUAAACUCGAGAUCUGAAACUGUCAGUUUAACUGAAAUAUCACAACUCCAAAAAUUUGAAACUGAAACAAUCACAAAAGAAUUUACAGCUUCGUAUAUGCCUCUUGAAGGUACCGAUACAAUCAAUACGGCAUAUUCAAAUACAGAUCUAGAUACAGAUUCAGAUACAGAUUCAGAUACAGAUCCAUCACAAUCACCUAUAUAUCAAACGAAAGAACCUAAAAAUAACUCAAAACAAUUCAGCCAAUUAUCGUUCUGGGAAGAAGAUUCCAGCUCAAUUGAAUCCAUAAAUGAUGCUUCAUCAGUAACAUUACGAACGAAUGAAGAGGAUGACUAUGGAUUGAUCCCAUUAGAUGUGGGUCAUGCUCGGAGACGCCACGGAGAGUCCGUCUCGUCCGAGUUAAGUGAUAGCGACAUUGAGGCUUUAAUUAAUUACGGAGGGCGUACUUCAAACGAAGUAGAUGUAUAUAGACAUAGAUCAACCUUGUUUGUGGAUGAUGUAUUCAUAAGAGAAGUUCGUCCAGCAAUUUAUAGUGAAGACCAAUUAAGAUUAUUCAUAUUGGAUUUCUUUUGUUGUUUGUUUGUUUCUUCACUUAUAUUUUUCUUUCUUUCCUUUCUUUUCUUUUCAUUCGUUCUUUUCAUCUUUUUUCUUUUACUUACCUCUUUGCCAAAUAAUCGAUAUGUGUAAUUGAUUGGGAGAAUUAAAUUAAGUCUGAUUUUGUUUUAUCAUUCACUAAAAUACAAAUUGCAUUCAACCUUGAUUGAGUUCCAUCAGAGUGGCUUUGUUAUACACACAUACAUAAAUGCAUUAAUAUCUUGUAUUUAUACAACUUUCAUAUAGAUUACCAUAUAGCGGGUUUACUUGGCGGGUGUAAGAUUUGGCGUUUUGCCCGCUCAAUUAUAUGCCAAUAAUUUUGGCGUUAUUCAUUUUAGUGAGUUCCAUCUCAUUGCUGACUAAAAAGAGUAAUUACUUGCUAUUUUUAGCUUUUAAAAUGUUAGAGGACUACCAUCACAACGCCUAAAUUAGCAUCCCGCUGAAAUAAUCCACCAUACUGUUUUUUUAUUUAGUAAAAAUAUUGCAAAUAUGAUCGUGAAAAUUAUUUGCACAAGAUUUUGUUCUUUUA
Long non-coding RNA from Saccostrea cuccullata (small rock oyster), 1670 nucleotides. RefSeq lists it as uncharacterized. Lineage: Eukaryota; Metazoa; Mollusca; Bivalvia; Ostreida; Ostreidae. The record is from RefSeq and is a predicted model, not a curated record. The transcript has 3 exons.